UUAGUGUAAGAGACAAUUUCACCCAGUUGCCCACACAGGCCCUGAACUUGUGAUCCUCCAGCCUUAGAUCUCCAAGAAAGAACUUAAUAAAUAACAGCUCCUGUCCUCUUUUCCCUAAUUUGUAAGUCAAGUAAAGUUCAGGGCAGUCAUAAGACAGACCAAGCUGAAGGUCGGUCGAGCAAAGAGCACGAGCUCUGUGUUCAGAGAAGAAGGAGGUUGUGGCCAGUGCUUCCCGGGGGACGUGAGUUUGAAGCAGAGCCUGGAGAACCAACAAGAAGGAGAGGAGAGAGAACUCCACGCAGCAAUUGUGGGCAAAUAAGGCAUCAGUGAAAGUGAGAAGAGGAUGAAGAAAAAAGAAAAAAACCUCAAGGGGCAUUUCCUACAAGGGACUAGCUCUAUGUAUUUCUCCUGUGUGUAGCUGGAGUGCUUUUCCCAACCAACACCUCGCCGAAGACAGUGACCGUAUUUUACCACCAUUAUAUCCUAGUGCUUGGCUGAGAGCUGGCCAUCGGGUUCCUCCUGGCACAUAGGCCGACUGCAAGGUAUAAUGGACUGGAAGCUGGCAAGCUUAGUUCUGAGACAGGCUCAGGGAAGCGAUCACAGCCUUGCACCCACCAGGACCUGCAUCUGACACUCGACCUUCACUUCCGAUGGCUUUUACUCAGCCUGGGCACAUUCCCUGCUGUUCCACUCUGACCCUCCCAUCCCAUCUUUGCCAUGAGAUUGGAUUCAUCCAUCGGCCACCAGGAAAGGCCACCUUUGGGAGCCAUUGCUGUGUGCAGCUCCAAGCUAAUGUCGCUGGUCGGUUCUCUGGCAGCAUCUGGGCCUUGUGGAAAAAAUAGGCAGAGGCUGUGGUGGGAGCAGAGGCAGGAAAAGCCAAGAAGAGCCACCCCACCCUUUUCUGCCUGGGACCCCCCAGGCCAGCUACUCGUUCAAACAUCGUGGGCCAUUUCUGGAGCGUCAAAGCUGAGUGUGUCACUACUCUUCUUCCGUGGAGCCUAGCAGCCCUGUUUCCACUGUAUCCAUUUUCAACUGCUGCUGUAACAAAAUACGACACAUCAGGGGCUGGGGAUUUAGCUCAGCGGCAUAAGCACCUGCCUUGCAAGCAGGCGGUCGUGAGUUCGAUCCCCGGUACCGAUAAAAAGGAAAAAGACAAAAAAAAAAAAAAAAAUACUACACAUCAAAUGGUUUAAAACAAAACUUGUUUACUAUCUUACACUUAUGCAGGCUAAAAGCCCAAGCUGAUCUCACUGAGCUAAAAUCUAAGUGUCAGCAAGGCUGGGGUCUUUUCUGGAGGGCCUGGGUAGAAUUUAUUUCCUAGCCAGGUAUGGAGGUGCCUACUUGUAAUUCCAGUACUCUGGGAGGUUGAGUUGGGAGGAUCACAAGUUUGUGGGCUGCAGAUACAGCUCAGUAGCACAAGUACCUGCCUGGCAAGCAUAAGGUCUUGAGUUUGAUUCCUAGCUACCAAACAAACAAACAAACAAACAAACCACAAAACCAGAUUCCAGGCCAUCUUGGGCAAUUUAGACUUACUGAGAACUUGUUUUGAAAUAAAAAAUGAUUUUAGAGAGGGUUGGUGACAUAGCUCAGUAUAAAGGUCCUAGAAUCAAUCCCAAGCACUGCAGGGGGGGGGGGAAGAAAUUAGAAUCUAUUUCCUGCCUUUUUUAGGUUCUAGAACCUGCCAGCAACUCCUUGGCUCAUGCCCCUUGCUCUGUCCUAAAGGCAGCCACACUGCAUCUCUCUGGCCCUGCUCCCAAGAACAUCUUUCUUUUACUCCACUUUAAGAACCCUUAUGGUUACAUCGGACUCAUCCAGAUAAUCCCAAGUACACUCAGUAUUCUAGGGUCAGGUGAUUGGCAGCCUUAUCCCAUCUGCAGCCUCACUUCCCCUUGGCUGAGUGACAUCACAUUGGUGCAGGUUGCCAGGGUAGGUAGAGCCACCCCAUCUGCCUGCUACAUUAACCAGCGGGGAGAGGUGUGGACCUCACCAACCUACCAACCCCCUCACCCCGCGCAUUGUGAAGGGGCGACUGCUGCUCAGCCCCAACUGAAGUCAUCAUUAUGACCCAGCCUGCCAAUCUGUCAGGUGAAUCUGGAAAAAUCACAUUUUCAGGGCUCAUUUUGAAAUCACUGUGCAGACAAAGGGGAAGAAAAAGAAAGCAGAGGAGGAAGAAAGGAAGGAAGGAAACGGAGAAAGGGAGAAGGUACAGAGGGAAGGAGAGAGGGAAGAAGGAAACUCAGGGGCUGGAUUUGGCAUGAAGCCACUCAGGUGUGACCCUGGGUCCGGCUGGCUCCACCUUGGCCUAGGUGAGAGGAUGAGAAGCCACCUGGUGCUCACAGGUUCUGCAAGUUCUGGGACCUGCCAGUGGGAGGAAUGUGGCCAGGAGCCAGUGAGUCCCCAGGGGAUGCCUCAGGGGAAAUUUCUGCGGGAGAAGGGACCUGCCAUGUCCCUAAGGGACCAAGCAUCACCUGCAGGAGCAGCGGAGCAUGAAAGAGUACAGGAAAUCAGACCGAGGCGACCUAAGAAAUCAACCAGAGUAAGGUGGGCUUCAUGCCUCGUGAGCCCAGAACACACCCAGCACAGCCUUCUAACUUCAAGAGGCCGGGCCUUCCCUCUCCCGCCCCAGCAACCCUGGCGCUGGCAGUGGGCCGGCCUUGGUGGAAGUGAGAUUUUUCACCUUGUGCCUCUUUAUGUGACUUGAGAUGAAUGAGCUAAUAAAACACUUGAAAUAAUGCAA
This is a long non-coding RNA of Cavia porcellus (domestic guinea pig), 2737 nucleotides long. RefSeq lists it as uncharacterized. The transcript has 5 exons. NCBI's taxonomy places the organism in Eukaryota, Metazoa, Chordata, Mammalia, Rodentia, Caviidae. The record is from RefSeq and is a predicted model, not a curated record.